CAAUGACCUAAUUCAUUCUAAUUAGAAUUCUUCACCCCCUUUAUCACCUAAGCCGCUACAUCUUGUGCAUUCAUUGGUUGAAACCUUUUAUCAAAGCAAUGCACCGCGUUUUUUCGAAGGAGUAUAAUGACUGACUCACGACCGUCGAAGUUCUCGUUUGAUGAUUCUAUGGGCACUACAAGUAUGUUUUUUUAUAAUCUACGUUUGUACACAUUCUGAUUGUCACGUCCUAGCACAUUCUGUGAGUUACAAUUGUUGAUGUGUGUUUGUGUUAAUCGUGUAUACGUGGUGAAUAUAUUGGCCGGGGACGAAGGACCAAUGGGGACCACACUCGUAGGAGCUGGACUGACCGUGAGGAGGAGAUAUUGGUACUCGCGAUGAAGGAUCUGGUGUUGAAUGGCUGGAAAUCUGAAAACGGAUUUUGGUCAGGGUACCUGUUCCAGCUUGAGGAUGCUUUGAAGCAACAAUUUCCCAAAUCUAACAUCAGAAUCCGUCCGCAUAUUCAUUCAAAGAUUAUUGCGUGGAAAAAAAUCUACUCGUCUUUGAGAGAUAUUCUUCAGCAUAGAGGCGUUGGUUUCAACGCGUACAAUGACUACAAGAUUGAAUGCGACGAUGAUCUAUGGUACCAUAUUGUGAAGGUGGUUGAUCAUUUACACUAUGAAUCAUAUAUGCACAUUUUGGCGACGAUGAUCUAUGGUACCAUAUUCUGAAGGCAGACACCAAUGCUCAGUUUUUUAGGGGAAAGAGUUGGCCAUAUUGGGAGCAUUGGCAGGUAAUUUUCGGAUAUGACCGUGAGCGAUGAGUCCCUUUCUUUUUUGUCGGGCAACGUAGUUGCUGAAACUUAUUGGUAUAUUGAAUAAGUUGUUCCUAUGCAUAUGCUUUUAUGAAUCUGUAUCACCAAUUGCAAAUUGCUUGUAUUUAGUUAGAUUUGAAAAUGCCAUCCAAUUUACCUCUUUAGUUAUGAUGCCAAUUUGGUGAUAGAUUCUCCAAGACAAUCUACAAUUAUUGUUUGGAAGAUUUAAAACUUCAUGUAAUGGUAGUUCAUAAUGACAUUUUGGAUCAACUGAUUUUCCUUUA
Molecule: long non-coding RNA, 1077 nt
Organism: Salvia splendens (bonfire salvia)
Lineage: Eukaryota; Viridiplantae; Streptophyta; Magnoliopsida; Lamiales; Lamiaceae
Exons: 3
Source: RefSeq, a predicted model, not a curated record